Molecule: ribosomal RNA, 389 nt
Filed under: uncultured bacterium
Lineage: Bacteria
Description: bacterial SSU rRNA
Rfam family: Bacterial small subunit ribosomal RNA
Source: RNAcentral
GAUGAACGCUAGCGGCAGGCUUAAUACAUGCAAGUCGAGGGGCAGCAAGGGUAGCAAUACCUGUUGGCGACCGGCAAACGGGUGCGGAACACGUACAGAACCUUCCUUUAAGUGGGGGAUAGCCCAUAGAAAUGUGGAUUAAUACCCCUUAAUAUUAUGUGAUGGCAUCAUUAUAUAAUUAAAGAUUUAUUGCUUAGAGAUGGCUGUGCGGCUGAUUAGGUAGUGGUGCGGGUAAUGGCCCACCAAGCCAACGAUCAGUAACUGGUGUGAGAGCACGACCAGUCACACGGGCACUGAGACACGGGCCCGACUCCUACGGGAGGCAGCAGUAAGGAAUAUUGGUCAAUGGACGCAAGUCUGAACCAGCCAUGCCGCGUGGAGGAUUAAGG